CACAACAGGAGGUGAGCAGUGGGCUAAUGAGCAAACCUGCAUCGGUAUUUAUAGCCACUUCCCUCAUUCACGUUACUGCCUGAGCUCUGCCUCCUGUCAGAUCAGCAGCAUUAGAUUCUCAUAGGAGCUCAAACCCUACGACCUACUAUGAACUGUGCAUGCAAAGAAUCUAGGCUGCAUGCUCCUUACGAAAAUCUAAUGCCUGAUUGUCUGGUUCUGCAUUAUGCGCGGGCACGCCAGGCGCAGUCAGGCCCUGUUAUGGAAGCGCAGAAGAGCUGGCCUGCUCUGACUGUGGAGAGGGAACUGCCAAGGGGAGCACGGGAGCGGGCAGUGAUACGAGACCCUGUCCUCUGAGUCAGCCCUGAUGCCAGGCGGGUGAGGUAAGCCUCCGUCGGGGGCACCCUUCACCUGCUGGCUCCUGGCCUCUCUCUGGCGGCCAUCAGUUCCCUGCAGGCUGGCUAGGGUGUGAGAAACAACACAGGUCUGCUUCCUGCGGCUCCUGGCUAGAAAGUAGCGGCCUGGAUUCCAUACGUCAAUAAGAAGACAGACAGCGAGCUGGUGCUGCCCUGGAACAAGUGUUCCCAAGCUGACUGUCUGGGACCAUUCUAGCCAUCACUUUGGACUCCAGGACCCUGGACCCUGUCUUCUGGAUCCAGGAUUCAGCUGCCCCUUCUGAGAUGCCCAUGAGCCCAAAUGACACGCCGCUCCUCUGCUGUCACUACCCCACCAGCACAAGUGACAGUUUCCAAGUGGAGGAAAAAUAAGGCUUCAUUUUCCUCUGAAUCUAAGAAGUCAAGCUCCCAUGAACCAGGGCAAGCUACCCUAGGCACCACUCUCUUUAGCUUACAAUCAGAAGGAAUGUGCCAGGGCUAAAGAGUUUUGAAAGAUAGACCACAGAAAGAGGCUCAUUCACUGCCCUCCGGGUGUCCACACAUGGACUGGAGGUGCUGGGACCCAUCAGUAAAGGAGGUUAUGGAAGCCCUUAUGUGCAUGACCUGGGGGAAAAAAAAAGGAUAUGAUGGCCCAGAAGGAAGUUGCUGGGGAGGGAAAAUUUGUGAUUCUUUGCACCAUGAAAAUAGACCAGUGCUUGUCUGUUAUGUCUGCUUGGAACACACAGCAUCUACAGGUACAUCCUUGGACACAGCAGGUCUUCUCACCCAACUCUGGUGACUGGAAAACAGCAGGCUUCCAAUCCCUCUGACCAGUCAAGAGGUUGGAAUUAGGGUUAGAUGAACCUGACUGGUGAGCAUCCCAGGCCAGGCAUGCAUCCUCCGGGACCCAGAGACUAACCUGGACCCACAGGUCUGAGAACCUGGGCGAGCACUGGCUGGCCAGCUGCAUGCUCUCACACAUGGGGCCCAUCCAAUUCACAGAUCAAAAGUCCAGUUGAGGGGGGAGAGGACAAGCGGCCCCUUGGGGCCAGGAGAAGGCUCAGAAAGAUCCCUACUGGGGAGGGGCCUCUCCGGCUCCCAUCUGAGCACCAGCACCCAGGUCUGGCCCGGGGCCUGGCCCUCCUGGCGCCCUCAGACGUGGCUCC
This is a long non-coding RNA of Bubalus bubalis (water buffalo), 1537 nucleotides long. RefSeq lists it as uncharacterized. The transcript is spliced from 2 exons. NCBI's taxonomy places the organism in Eukaryota, Metazoa, Chordata, Mammalia, Artiodactyla, Bovidae. The record is from RefSeq and is a predicted model, not a curated record.